This is a non-coding RNA of Pelobates cultripes (western spadefoot toad), 790 nucleotides long. NCBI's taxonomy places the organism in Eukaryota, Metazoa, Chordata, Amphibia, Anura, Pelobatidae. The record is from the annotation of a GenBank genome assembly.
CUUUAGCUACUGCUGAUUGACAUUGGACUUUGUUGACUAAUUUGAUGCCUACAGAUAUUCCCAAAUCUUUCUAACAUAUUGUUUUCCCAAACCUACUACCACUCAGCGUAUAUGUUUCUUGUGCUUUUCUUCUCCCCCAAAAGUGCAUAACUUUGCAUUUAUCAACAUUAAAUUUCAUCUGCCAUUUGAGUUCCCUCUCCCUUAAUCUAAAUCUCUCUGCAGCAAAGUAAUAUCCUGCUUACAUUGUAUUACAUUAUUCGUUUUGAACCAUCUGCCAAUACUGACACAUGUCCAGGGGUGUGGAAAUUUUAAUAAACCAACUUGUCCAUGGGACUAAAGUGGUAACCCAAUCCAUUUGUCCAUCAUCAUACGUUACGGCAGGAAGGGCUAAGAAAAGAAAGGAGAGAAGGAGUGCAGACAUGAGCUUCCCCUUGCAGGGGAUGUAAGAUAUGAACAUAAUUGACAUUAGGCAGCCCAGAACAGAGAUCCAGGCUGCUUACUCGAUCAGCCACAACAUUAAACCCACUGACAGUUGAAGUAAAUAACAUUGAUUAUAUUGUUACAUUGGCACCUGUCAAGGGGUGGGAUAUAUAAGACAAGUGAACAGUCAAUUCUGGAAUUUCAAGUAUAUGAAGCAGAAAAAAUGGUCAAGUGAUUUUAGUGAAACUACACUUUCAUUACUAUUUUUUAGAAUGUAGGCAUUUAUUCGCUUGUUAUAUGAGCCUAUAUAUAUGCCUCUGAGUUAUCUGAUUUAAAGGCUUUUCUGUUUAUCUUUCUUGGGUUACCAUCC